GUGCUUGCUUUGCCACACAUACACUAAAAUUGGAACAAUACAGAGAUUAGCAUGAGCCCUGCACAAGUAUGACACACAAAUUCUUGAAGCAUUCCAUAUUUUU
RNAcentral lists this small nuclear RNA (103 nucleotides) under Octodon degus (degu). Lineage: Eukaryota; Metazoa; Chordata; Mammalia; Rodentia; Octodontidae. The record is from RNAcentral.